UACGGAGGGGGCUAGCGUUGUUCGGAAUUACUGGGCGUAAAGCGCACGUAGGCGGCUUUGUAAGUCAGAGGUGAAAUCCCAGUGCUCAACACUGGAACUGCCUUUGAGACUGCAUCGCUUGAAUCCAGGAGAGGUGAGUGGAAUUCCGAGUGUAGAGGUGAAAUUCGUAGAUAUUCGGAAGAACACCAGUGGCGAAGGCGGCUCACUGGACUGGUAUUGACGCUGAGGCACGAAAGCGUGGGGAGCAAACAGG
RNAcentral lists this ribosomal RNA (253 nucleotides) under uncultured bacterium. RNAcentral describes it as "partial 16S ribosomal RNA". It matches the Rfam family "Bacterial small subunit ribosomal RNA", at positions 524 to 776 of the family's 1533-position model. The record is from RNAcentral.